This 1098-nucleotide long non-coding RNA is filed under the name Oryctolagus cuniculus (rabbit). RNAcentral's name for it is "lncRNA (ENSOCUG00000036562.1)". Lineage: Eukaryota; Metazoa; Chordata; Mammalia; Lagomorpha; Leporidae. The record is from RNAcentral.
AUGCAGAGCCAGUCCUCGGUCCUUGGGCUUCCAGCAGCCAUCCCAUCUGCUUCUCCGAUCCUUCCCAGCCUUGGGAGAGGACACCGCCAGGUCCCUGACAGCCGGGUGACAGCAUUGCACUGUGAGCUGAAGGCCUGCUGUCACCUCGAGGGGGCGGUAUUGACCCCGAGAUGCCGGCACCGGUGGACGCAACUCCUGCCACACACACAGUGUAGCAUGGUGUUCCGACACACGCAGACAUUGCAGAAUAGCCAGACCACCAACCUGAUGAGCGUGCCCAUCACCCACACACGGGCAGCUUUGUGUGUGGAGAACUCAGUUUUCAAGGAUAGAAUUCAUUGUGACCGCCCACAGCCAGCCCGCUGUAUAGCACAUAUCCCGAUUACACUCCCACCUGAGCCAAACGCAGGCUCCAGCAGCCUCUCCCCACCCCAGGCCCCCGUGCUCCCAGCCCCUGCUGGGCAAAGAUCUUCUGGGUCCAAUUCACUGCACCUCAUUUCCCACUACGCAUGCUCUCACCCUGGGUCCCUAAGCAAGUGCAACGCCCUCCCGGCUCCCUCCCCAGCCCUGUGCUGUGCUCAGCUCAGGACCUUGCACAGGUGCCCCAUCAGAGGAGGCUCCAUUCCUGCCCCUGGAGGACUUUUCCUGCACGGUGGAAGCACAGGGCACCUGUUCACUGCCCAGCAAACCUGGUGCGGGAGUCCAGCCUGGCCCCCCACGCUCGCAGCCACCCUGGGUGCGCAGACCCCACGCAGCCGAGCAGCCCACGCUUUGCGUACUGGACAGUCAUGCGGGGGCGGGGAAGUCUGCCCAGUCCAGUCCCUGGGAAAGGAGGAGCCCAAGCUCCCGGGGACGCCCGGCGCCGCGCCGCCCGGCACCCUUGUCUUCGCCUGGGCCAGACGUGGCCGCCCUGCGGGCAGGGGAGCGGCGGCCCGUGCUGACCACGCCGGCCCUUGGCUGUGCUCGAGCCCAGGGCCAACGAGGCAGAGUCCGCGCUGCCCUCGGGGCACGGUGACCUGGCAGGGCGGGCGGCGCCUGGAACGAUGGCGGGGGACCCGGGAGAGGGCCGCGCCCACGCUGUCCGUUCCGCACGCUUAG